Long non-coding RNA from Acyrthosiphon pisum (pea aphid), 872 nucleotides. RefSeq lists it as uncharacterized. The transcript is spliced from 2 exons. The record is from RefSeq and is a predicted model, not a curated record. Lineage: Eukaryota; Metazoa; Arthropoda; Insecta; Hemiptera; Aphididae.
UACCCAUCACGUGUUUAAAAACAAUUAAUUUUAACUAUUUAUUUAAAUAGUUCCAUAAUUUAUCAUAGGUAUGUUUUUUCUUAUCUUCCAAUUUUAUAUGUGGAUCACAUGAUUAAAGAUAAUUAAUUAAAUAAUAAUAAAUUAUAUUGUAUUAUUAAAUCCAGGGUAAGAAAAAUUAUAAUGUUAUCGUGUGUAUUUUGAUAAAAUUGCAGAAUAAUGCAGCGUCUCGUGCGUUCCCCUUAUAAUAAAAGUAGGGGUACGCUAAAAUUUCUGAAAAAUUAGUUGGUCCCCCCUCAAGACGAGCACUGGGUAAAUGUACUACUAAUAAGUAAUAAUUAAUAAAGAAAUACUAACCCAUACAUUAUUGUUAAAUUAAAUAUGGUACUACAAAGUAGAUACAGCUAAAAUGCAUACAAUAUAUUUUUUUUAUUUAAGAUACCUUUUCAAAUGCUCAAAAAAAAUGUGAAAAGGCAAGGAGCCAAUCUGAUCUUUCCUCUGCAGAAGAUAAUUUUAAACGAAAGAGUUAUAAGAUAUUAAAAAAACAAAAGACUCCAAGUUCAGAAUCUGACUAUGGACAAUCUGAUGACAACAGUAAUUCAAUUCCGCGUUAUCAUUCAGGUAAUUAAUCUUUUCCUUAAUUUUAUACUGUUUUGCUACGAUAAAUGAUCAUUUAAUAACAAUUGAGUACCUAAGUACAUUUUUUAAUUUUAAUUUUCAUAUAAUAUUUUUUACUAGUUUAUAAAUCAGUCUUAAGCUCUUACAAUAACAUACCUAACAUUUAUAUAUUUAUGUUGUAUUAGAUCCAGACUCUAGUAAUAAAAAGUUAGCUGGAUGGUCUCCAUUAAAAACUUCUCUAAACAGAGGUGAAAUAG